AGUGAAGAAGGGAAUGAGGGACGGAAAGAGAGAGAAGGCGAAGAGAGGAGAAAGCUCUUAGCAUAUGAAACUGCAGCUAGGACUAAAACCAGAGGAGGGCACACAGAAUCUUGACUGCUCUUCAGAAAUAUGUGGCACUCCAUUAAAAUGAAGAUUUUUGCUGCUCACUCCAGAAAUAUUGAAUCAAAACGUGGAGCAUGAGACAGGCAAGGCCAGUGAAGGAGUGUGGCUCCGAUAGGAUUGACAACUACUACCUUAGAUGAUGAAUCAAGCUCAGAAGGGAUCCCUCUGGAUUUCCCAGCGCCAUGUAAGAAGUGCCUGCUUUCCCUUUGCCUUCUGCUGUGAUCGUUUCCUGAGGCCUCCCCAGUCAUGUUACCUGUACAGCCUGCAGAACUGUGAAGAAACCGAGGCAAUGAAUGAAGUAAUAUACCCAAGAUCACAUUGCCAGUGAAUGGGAGAGCUGACGUUUGAAUCUACACAGAACCUGUGCUCUUAGCUAUCUAACCGCUUUACUUGGAAGUGAUGUGAGAUU
Molecule: long non-coding RNA, 532 nt
Organism: Gorilla gorilla gorilla (western lowland gorilla)
Lineage: Eukaryota; Metazoa; Chordata; Mammalia; Primates; Hominidae
Exons: 5
Source: RefSeq, a predicted model, not a curated record